AUUACGCAAGGGCGGGGUGUGGGUGAUAGGAUGUCAUUGUUUCUCAUUCUUACAGGAAGAAUAGGAAAUUUGUUAGACCAGGCAACUUCUGUUUCUCUCUCUCUCUCUCUCUCUCUCUCUCUCUCUCUCUCUCUCUCUCUCUCUCUCUCUCUCUCUCUAUAUAUAUAUAUAUAUAUCUAAACUUUGUCAGAUUUAAUGUAGGAUGAAGCAAAAGUUCCCACAGGAAUAUUGGCUCAUGUACUCUGUGGUUUGUUACUGUAUGUGGUCAUUUUACAGGGAUCCCAGAACAAGAAUGUUGUUUAACAGAGUAAUGUGUUAGGUUGUUGAUUGUUAUUUGGAGUCAAAAUUAUACAUCAUUGAGAUCAAUGACGUGGAAUCCCAACCGUUGAUUCCAUUUUUGUUCAAUCCUAUGGCCAUUAAUAAAGAGAGAUGCGCGAGAAGCUAAAAAUAGUGUGAAAAUAAAAUUGCUGUUAUUACCA
Molecule: long non-coding RNA, 479 nt
Filed under: Malus domestica (apple)
Lineage: Eukaryota; Viridiplantae; Streptophyta; Magnoliopsida; Rosales; Rosaceae
Description: long non-coding RNA (MDOM_LNC007940)
Source: RNAcentral